This 501-nucleotide ribosomal RNA is filed under the name uncultured bacterium. Its description in RNAcentral is "partial 16S ribosomal RNA". It matches the Rfam family "Bacterial small subunit ribosomal RNA", at positions 30 to 523 of the family's 1533-position model. The record is from RNAcentral.
AUUGAACGCUGGCGGCAUGCCUUACACAUGCAAGUCGAACGGCAGCACGGGUGCUUGCACCUGGUGGCGAGUGGCGAACGGGUGAGUAAUACAUCGGAACGUACCUUAUCGUGGGGGAUAACGCAGCGAAAGUUGCGCUAAUACCGCAUACGCCCUGAGGGGGAAAGCGGGGGACCGUAAGGCCUCGCGCGAUUAGAGCGGCCGAUGUCUGAUUAGCUUGUUGGUGAGGUAAAAGCUCACCAAGGCGAUGAUCAGUAGCUGGUCUGAGAGGACGAUCAGCCACGCUGGGACUGAGACACGGCCCAGACUCCGACGGGAGGCAGCAGUGGGGAAUUUUGGACAAUGGGGGCAACCCUGAUCCAGCAAUGCCGCGUGAGUGAAGAAGGCCUUCGGGUUGUAAAGCUCUUUUGUCAGGGAAGAAACAGCAGCUCUAACACAGUCUGCGAAUGACGGUACCUGAAGAAUAAGCACCGGCUAACUACGUGCCAGCAGCCGCCGUAA